Mastomys coucha (southern multimammate mouse) is the source of this 993-nucleotide long non-coding RNA. RefSeq lists it as uncharacterized. The transcript has 3 exons. The record is from RefSeq and is a predicted model, not a curated record. Lineage: Eukaryota; Metazoa; Chordata; Mammalia; Rodentia; Muridae.
GUCAGGACAUGUCUAACUUGAGUUAGCCAAAACCUUAGAAACCCUAGAGAGGUCGUGGCCUCCUUUAGGGUGUCCCUAGAGAGGUCGCGGCUUCCUUUAGGGUGUCCCUAGAGAGGUCGCGACCUCCUUUAGGGAGCUGUUUUGGUCUCAGUGGCCUGUCUCCCAGAUUCGUGUCCACUUGAGACUUGAGACUGUGCUCUCCUUUGGGAAAAGGAUUGAUCCAGUGUACUCAAGUUGAGAUGAGGUCAUAUUGGAACAGAGUGGCCUAUUAAGACGAGAAGAGGAAGUGAUGUUAGCAGGUGGUUCACUAGACAUUCAUCGCGUGUCCUCUCCACAACAAAAGGCCAACACAAAGACAUAACAGCAACUAGUCCGUUGCAACAUCGGAGGUGAGCCACUAAGGAGUGAGUACCGUGGGGGCAUGCACCCGGAGGACAAGCACCUGGGAAUCGGGAAUCGAGCACCCGAGUGGCUAAGCCCAACAAAGGCCUGAAGCAGCCAGUGCAAAUACCCUGAACAUUCCCAACACAAACAAAGGAGAGACCUGUUGAGCCUGGAAAUCCAAUCGCUACAGUUGAGCAUCCUGCUAGAUUAGAUUGUGCGUGGACUCUGAACCACCAGCCCUGCAGCUCUAGGAAGCUGGAACUUGUGGGAGCAGCAGCAGAAGUUGGCCGAUUCGGAGCCUAGUGUGAGUGGGCUACACCCAUGGACUGACCAGCUUUUCUGCCCAGCUGCUUCGAAGUACUCACAAGAAUCCAUGCCUCGCCAGAGCCAUCAAGUUCAAGCUGCUCCGCCCUAGUCAACCAUGGAUGACAGUUGAUAGAUUAGUCGUGACUGUUCCCUCUUCCACACCUGUGUGUGGGUCACAGAUGUGUGUAAGCGAGCAGUCCUCAGAUCCUAUUGAAAUCCCAGUCCCAGUACCAAGUUACAUCAGCUGGGAUCCAAUCAGGAAAGGAGACUUACACAGACUAAUAAUGUUUAGUGUGGCUCACU